AGAGUUGAUCAUGGCUCAGGACGAACGCUGGCGGCAGGCUAACACAUGCAAGUCGAACGGUUGCAGCAAUGCAGCAGUGGCAGACGGGUGAGUAACACGUGGGAACCUUCCUAGGGGUACGGAACAACUCAGGGAAACUUGAGCUAAUACCGUAUACGUCCGUGAGGAGAAAGAUUUAUCGCCCUUAGACGGGCCCGCGUCGGAUUAGCUAGUUGGUGGGGUAACGGCCUACCAAGGCGACGAUCCGUAGCUGAUCUUAGAGGAUGAUCAGCCACACUGGGACUGAGACACGGCCCAGACUCCUACGGGAGGCAGCAGUGGGGAAUCUUGGACAAUGGGCGCAAGCCUGAUCCCAGCCAUGCCGCGUGAGUGAAGAAGGUCUUCGGAUUGUAAAGCUCUUUUGCCAGGGACGAUAAUGACGGUACCUGGAGAAUAAGCCCCGGCAAACUUCGUGCCAGCCGCCGC
Molecule: ribosomal RNA, 465 nt
Filed under: uncultured bacterium
Lineage: Bacteria
Description: bacterial SSU rRNA
Rfam family: Bacterial small subunit ribosomal RNA
Source: RNAcentral